Molecule: long non-coding RNA, 3811 nt
Organism: Cavia porcellus (domestic guinea pig)
Lineage: Eukaryota; Metazoa; Chordata; Mammalia; Rodentia; Caviidae
Exons: 6
Source: RefSeq, a predicted model, not a curated record
CAGUACACCCACGAUCCCCCACGAGGGCUCUUGAGACUUAGAAUCGCUCUUCAGCUUCAGUUUAACUAAGCCUCUCGGGAUGUGGCCGUGGAGAGGAUGAGCGUCCUCGCUCUAAUUUGAGUGAAAGCAAAAUUGUGCUUGGAAACCCAUAUAUGGGAGCCUCUGAGAAGCAGCUCAGUUGGUGUUUUCGCCUGAAAUCAUGGAGAGAGAAGGAAUAGAAAAGCAUCUCAUUGUGCUAACCACUGAGGAUAUAAAUGUAUAGAAUACUUGCAUACUUAUAUCUAAUAUUUAGGUAUAUUUAAAAAUUGGGAAGGUUAUUGUCUUUAAUAUUCUUUGAUUUACAUGUGUUUUUAGAAGGAAAAUGUAACAGAUUCAACUUCAAUUACAGGUUAUAUCAGCUCAUUGGGCGACUUCCAGGGUUCCAGUGUGGGUUGCUCAUGUCCGACUGAAGAGCUAACUGGGCUUCCUGACUCAGAAUUCUGACGGUCCCAGGCGGUCUGUUGUGGAACUGAAGUCUUCCUUCUUUUCUGUCUUAUCUGAUGUCAUGACUCCUCUCUGGAUAUGAGCUGUGGAUUGUCUCAUUCAGAGUCAGCCUCUCCAUUCGAAUUUGUUGCCCACUUGUUCCGGAUUCCUCCGUGGCUCACUCUGAAGUUUCCUGGAAGCCUUGUAGUUGAGUCAUCUAAGGUGACCCAUACAGUUGUUCAUUUUCUUUAAUUUUCAUAGGACCCCAAAGGGUUGUAGAACAAUGUGUGAGAGAAUCCAUAAAUCCACUUCACAGUGUUUAAGAGAUGAGUUGCACACUACCAUUUACACAUCAAGCUGCAGCUGAGGUUGAAGCUCAAGUCUUAUCAUCAGGGAAAACCCUCUGAAAGUGCUGGCAAAUGGUGACUGACGCAGAACUGGACACCACUUCCAGCAGAGAAUUUAGCAAGUUGGAAAGCAGUCCUUUUUGCACGUGGCUAACUUAAACAGAAGUUUCCGCACAUUCAGAGAUCUCUCAGCUCCCUUGCGUGUCCUAGUGUAUCCUGCACAUGGCACGGGUACCAUGCUCUCCUCACGUGGUAAGGACCUGUCCUCGGCAGAUACUGGGUGACGUUCACCUCCAAGAGACCCCGUCAUAACCAAAGGUACAAAGGAAGUAGCGAUGCACGUUUACUGAAAAAAAGAUGGAGAGAAGUGUGGGGAACACUCUCCACUGCAAGACACUCAAUUCAACCUUAAAAGCAGCAACUUUCUCCCAAAUAGCAAAGUGUAAAUAAAUUAACGAGCAAAAUAAGUGGUAGAUAAUAGGAAACAAGGAGACAGAUCUUGUGCAAAUGAGAAGAGGACCAAUGGAGAGGCCUGGGGAGGAGAAGGGAGUCUAAGAGUUAGGAUGCAUCAUGAACGUGAGGCCCUCUGCACCAUGAAUGUGACUGUUCUGUACUGAACACACUAUAAUUAAACAAAACAAAACAGAACAUGACAACAAAAAACUUUCUUCCAGCUUCUUAUUCACCUGGGUUGGCCUGAAUUCUUCCUGCCCUUCUGCUAUUGACACGCUUGCUCUCUCUCUUUGAGAGUACCCUAAAGGGUACAUUUGUGAUUCAGACAUAAUAAGUGGGAACAUCCUGAAACUAAGGAGCACUACAGAAUUAUAGCUAGUUUUAGGGCUCAGCUUUCCUGCUCACAGGAAAAAAUGGGAAAAAGAGGCAAAAAGUGAAAGAACGGUAUACCACACGACAUAUAACCAAGACGGGGAAGCACCUUGAAUUGCUUUCUGUAAGCGCACUGCUACUGAUCUAAUUCUUACUAAAUGUUAAGAGGGUUUCUGUGCUAAAAAUACAGUGAGCUGAAACAGUGGAUUAAGAAAGAUGUUGUUCUAAAUCCCAUCUUGUAAUUUUCACUUAAUGGAUCUAAAUUCCUUGAAGUCUCAGACUCUACAAUUGACUUGCAAAGAUCUUAAGUUACAGCUCACAGUCCCUUUGGAGGAGGUGCUUAUGAAUAUUAACUGUACCCAAGGAUGCACUGUGUUGGUACAAGACUCAUUUGAGCACAGAAUUAGUGAGAGGUGAACGAUGAAUAAUGGGCUCAGUGUGUGGAGUUUAAAUAUUCCGAAGAACAGACUCUGUAUGGUAUUGUAAAAUGUCUUGUAGCUUCAUUUCUGAUUUUGAAAUGUUACAGUGCUUGCUUAUUGUCACAGCAUGAUCUUCAGCACAGUUGGGUUAGUGCUUUUUUAAAGUAAUGCAAAUGCAUGAAUGUCAGAAAUACCUUCAAAUAUCGGGGACUGCAUCUUUAAGGAGUGCAUUUGGCAUUAAACAGCCUUUUCCAGCUAAUGAAUUUCUCAAGUUACAAGAAUAAUGGCCUUUUUAAUCUUAGCAAGAGUAAUUAAACAGACAUUUUGUUAUUAAUGAUGUUGUUAAUGGCAGAAGAUAUUGAAUUCUCACUUUAGAUAUUAUAUUGCUUGAGAGUGAUUAUUUCAAAUAUCAGACAUAUGAAUGUGUAUGAUGGUUUUAAAAGUGCAAUUCCUCCUUAAGAGAUUGGGAAAUAAUAGUUAUUUUAAAUAAACUGCUUUCAACUUUAUUAAUACCAAGAAAAUGAAACUUUUCCAAACAGAGGAAGAGCUAACUUUUAUGGAAAAGAACAUUUAUUUGAUUACCUCUACUUAUCAGUUGAAAUGGUGUUUGUUCUGGUGAGAUAAGGAUUUGUGUUCUAAGUCCUAUGAGGUGUCAUUGGAAAACUGCAGAGCCCAGAAAGCUUGGAAAGUGAGUCAAUCUCAGUCUAAGAACUGACAAUUUUGGAAGCCUCUACUGUGUGUCUUGUACAGAGCCUCAAAGCCCAAGAACUAGGAUACCCGCUGUCCAAAGGCAGAAGAUGUUUGUGCCAGCUUGGGAAGAGAGAGUAAGAGUAAAUUUGCCUUUCAAAUUUGCUUUGUUUCUACCCCAUCACCACAUUGGAUAUCACCCAUGCGCUUUGGCGAUAGCAAUAUUCUUCCCUCAGUCUGCUAAUCAAGAUAUAACUUUCUUCUAGAAAUAUCCUCCCAGACCUUCCCAGAAAUAUUGUGCUACAAGCUACCUGGGCAUCCUUUAAGCCCAGUCAAAUAGAUAUAAAAUUAACCAUCACAAUGUAGCAGCCCAUGAUAUGAGAGAAUUACUUAUUCAGUGUCUAUUUCAAAAUAAAAAAGGCAAGUGACAUUGCUUUAUGUAUGUUUAUGUCUAUUGUUUUAUGUCUCUUGCCCUCUUCUAGUGGAAACCAAACCUAUCUUCAUUUACCGUAAUUAACUCAUUCACUCAAAUACCAAUUAUGACCCAGCUCUGUUUUAUGCACUCAGACAAGAGCCAUGAAAACAGAGCAGAACAACAAGAUGUCACACAUAAAUACAAAAGGACGAAACUUCUACCGAGUAUAUAUGAAUUGACUCAAUCAAUGUAGACACAAUCAGAUGGCAGCCUUCUCCAGGCUCUGAUGGUGUAGGGCCAGUGGUGGACACAGGGGCCAUAUCAGACCAUUCAGAAAAGAGACUUUGGAAACUCUGGAGGAAAGAAUUUUUCCCUCUCUUCUACUAGACAUAAACAAAGCAGCAGCCAAGCCCAACUACUGCUGGCAACAAUUUUCUGAUUGUGCAGAGGUCUUGCUUAAAAUGAACUGGAUCCCACGGACAGCUGUGGGCAUGUCUACUUCUGGCUCUGGGGUGCCUCUACAGAUACAUUGUUCUUUUGUUAAAAUCACUUUGAAGGCUAAAUGGAUGAUGAUGUCUUUUGCAUAAGCAUAUGUAUGAAUGGUGAGUUGAUCUUAAUGAAUUUGAGGGCAAAUAAAAGAUGCAUUGAGAAUUUGA